GGGACUGGAGGACACAAGCUGCACUCCGCCACAUCAUAGCACCAGUGGUUUUCUGCAGGAAACAAGAGCCUAUUUGUUAUCCUUAAAGACAAAAGACAACAAGCCAAACUAUUGCACAGCAAGACAUACAGUUACCACAGGAUUUGUCGUAGUUAUCUCACUGCUACAGCUGCUUCCAGAAACUCUUACUAAGCAGAAGUAUGUGUUGACCUACGAGGUCAGACAAGACCAUGUGGAGCUGUUCUUUAACGCUGUUCGGAGAUUGGUUCAAGGCUGCCUUCCGUCACCUUGUGACACGCUGCAGUGUUCAAGGAGGAACAACAGGAAAUUUAACCGC
This is a long non-coding RNA of Acipenser ruthenus (sterlet), 337 nucleotides long. RefSeq lists it as uncharacterized. The record is from RefSeq and is a predicted model, not a curated record. Lineage: Eukaryota; Metazoa; Chordata; Actinopteri; Acipenseriformes; Acipenseridae. The transcript is spliced from 3 exons.